UACGUAGGUGGCAAGCGUUGUCCGGAUUUACUGGGUGUAAAGGGUGCGCAGGCGGGAUAGCAAGUUGGAUGUGAAAUACCGGAGCUUAACUCCGGAACUGCAUCCAAAACUGUAAUUCUUGAGUGGAGCAGAGGUAAGCGGAAUUCCGCGUGUAGCGGUGAAAUGCGUAGAUAUUCGGAGGAACACCAGUGGCGAAGGCGGCUUACUGGGCUCUAACUGACGCUGAGGCACGAAAGUGUGGGUAGCAAAC
RNAcentral lists this ribosomal RNA (250 nucleotides) under uncultured prokaryote. RNAcentral's name for it is "partial 16S ribosomal RNA". It matches the Rfam family "Bacterial small subunit ribosomal RNA", at positions 524 to 773 of the family's 1533-position model. The record is from RNAcentral.